This 266-nucleotide ribosomal RNA is filed under the name uncultured soil bacterium. Its description in RNAcentral is "partial 16S ribosomal RNA". It matches the Rfam family "Bacterial small subunit ribosomal RNA", at positions 26 to 285 of the family's 1533-position model. The record is from RNAcentral.
AGGAUGAACGCUAGCGGCAGGCCUAACACAUGCAAGUCGAGGGGUAACAUGGUGUGCUUGCACACUGAUGACGACCGGCGCACGGGUGCGCAACGCGUAUAGAACCUACCCUGUACAGGGGGAUAGCCCGGAGAAAUCCGGAUUAAUACCCCGUGGUAACAUGAUAUGGCAUCGUAUUAUGUUUAAAGCCUUCGGGCGGUACGGGAUGGCUAUGCGUCCUAUUAGCCAGAUGGUGAGGUAACGGCUCACCAUAGCUACGAUAGGGU